GAUACUACUGAUAGAGAUGCUCC
Molecule: non-coding RNA, 23 nt
Filed under: Arabidopsis thaliana (thale cress)
Lineage: Eukaryota; Viridiplantae; Streptophyta; Magnoliopsida; Brassicales; Brassicaceae
Source: RNAcentral